Long non-coding RNA from Myotis brandtii (Brandt's bat), 7947 nucleotides. RefSeq lists it as uncharacterized. The transcript has 3 exons. NCBI's taxonomy places the organism in Eukaryota, Metazoa, Chordata, Mammalia, Chiroptera, Vespertilionidae. The record is from RefSeq and is a predicted model, not a curated record.
GAAAAGAAAAGAAAAAGGAAUUGCUCAGAGGCUGUACCAGAACCUGUGCCCGGGUAUGAACCCUGGUCUGCAUCAUCAUUCUACACACAGGCAAUUACUCUGGACUCUACCAUCCAUUACAAACCAUAGGUCAUCCCACAGUACCUGGCCAUCGUGGGAGGGAAGGCAGAAAAGGGUUUUGCUGGGACUGAGUGAGUGGAAAGUGGGUGGGUGAGUUUUUGUGAGUUGUCACCAUCUCCAGUUGUCUGAACUGUAGGGACACAGCAGGAUAAUAGCCACGGGGGGAAAGCCGUUCAUGGAGAGCAUGCCAGAGGGAGUUUUGUCAUAACAGAAAGAUCUGCUCUCAGGACAAAAGAUUAUGGCCAUUUUUAGACUCCAUGUUAAUAAAUCAACAGCACGAUACCAGAGGAUAAUGGAAUCAAACUUGGGCACAUUAUGGAAUUCCAUGCCAAUUACAAAACCCUUAGGGCUCAUGUCUUUUACACUAUUCACCCCUAAAUGAGUUUAAUCGCCUUUUGUUUUGUUUUUAAAGAUCUCUCACGAAUUGCCAUGGUAAGGCAUAAGGUAGGCCCUGGUUAAUAAUAAAUAUAUCACGAGCUGUUUGAAAAGCUAGAGAAUCAAGUGUUCUGAUGUUCCCAGGAAGGCAGAAUAAUGACACAGUCCAUCAAGGAAAAACAAAGGGCAUUAGGACACUUGGGGACAUCUUGGAGUCACUCAGCCAUGGUCUCCUCACCCAACCAGAACCUCCAGGGCUCAGUAACUGUGGAGACAGGAAGACCAGAUCCUUCUGUGAGCACCAGGACAAGGGCCCCAGAGUCCUGAGGAAAAUCAUGUGGAAGCCCAACUCCCUGCUUUGUAAGUCAUCCUCAGGCCCCCGGGCUACCCCUGGAGAACCUAUUCAGUGACUCUAAAGACCACAAGAUGUACCCCUGGAUUAAUUUCACCGUCGCUGCAAAUUUGAAGAUGACUGAAGAUUUUCUACUUCGGGGAUAUCAAGUCGUUUAUUUGCCCUGACCCCUUCCAGGAAGCCUUCCUGGACAGGGAAGCUAAUAACUUCUCCCUGGCUGGCCACCUGGUGGGGAAAGAGAAAAGGACAGACUUCGAGCAGACCCAGCUUCAAAUCCACACUCACAUGAAGGCAGAACUUUGGCUCUACUUCCUUGGGCGUUAAUUUCCUCAUCUGCAAAGUGGGACCAACAUCUACCUCAUGGCGUUUGAACAGGAUUAAAUGAAAUAUGUUUGCAAGCCUUCUAGCACAUGGAUGUCCUGCUGUGACGUUCAUGUGCCCCGUGCCUGAGGAAACCACACCACCCUUGGUUGAAAUGAAGGCUGCACGAGCUUAGCACGAGGACCAGCUGGUAUUCUUGGCAUACGUACCCAACUCGGGCUAAGUUUUUAGUCUUCCCCACCCGAAAAGGCUUAGGGGUAAAGUGGGGAUUGGGAAAUCAGCGGAAAACCCCUCAAUGUGAUUAGUUCUAUAAAUUUAUAGCAGACUCAAGAUGCCCUAAGGAGGUCCAAAAGGCCUAGAAUCAGUUCCAGGUACCAAAAAGAAAUUAAAUUCGCUUUGGGUGUAGGUUCCAAAGAUUUCCAAACAAAAUUAGACCUGCUAGGAUUUUUGCAUGACAGUUAACCAUGUGGACAAGGAUAUCGUCCUUGGAUGGUGGAGCAGCAAGAUAGACAGAGCCUGGCCAUGGCCAUCAUCUCACAGAACAAAGCGGCCAUAUACCAGCCUUGGACUGCCUGUCUCUGGACCAUUUCAUGAGAGAGAGAAAUAGAAUUCCUUCUUGUUUACAUUGUAGUGAAAUGGGCUCUCUCUGUUACAUGCAGCCAAAUCUAUAUCCCUGUUAAUACAUCUGUUAAAUGGAACAGAAAUCAGUAAAGGUAAGAGAGUCACUUUAGCCAAAGGCUAGAUCAUAACUCUGAAAUUUACUCUGAUGUAUUCUGAUUCUGAAAUUAUUCUAGGCUCUGAAAAAGAGUUCUUUACCUACUUAUUAUUGACUCAAUGAAUAUGCAGUAAAUAUUUGCUGAGUGUCCACUAUAUAUAUCAGGCACUGUGCUAGGCAAUACAGAAAUAAAUUUUGACAAGACAGUUGUGGUGCUAACAGAUUAGAGAGAGAAACAGACAAAACAUGCACAUUACAGUAUCAUAAAUGCUGAGAGAAAGGUUGCUAUUGGAGUAUACAAGCUGAGCCUAUAGGAUUCAGGAAUGCUUCCCAGAGAGAAUAAUCUUGAAAGUGAGUUCUGAAAGAUGUGAUGGAAUUAGAAAUAGCACAGGGAGGGGUUGGGGGUGAGGGGCAAGCAACCAGGCAGAAGGAACAGAAUAGGGGAAAGCCCAGGACUCAGAUUGAACAGACUCCUGGGCAUGGCCCACUAGCUCACCAAACAUACCGCUCUGACUCCAGGCAACCCUGUGAAUGAGUGACAUGCCCAAUGUCCUGUCCUCAACAGCCCUGCUCAGCUCCUGUAGCCUCAGGCCUAUCGCUUCUUCGAUGGAGUCAAUCCAUCUCAUAUUUGGUCUUCCCUUUUCCUACUGCCUUCUGUUUCCCCAGGAUUAUUGUCUUUUCCAAAGAACCCUACCUUCUUAUGUGUCUGAAGUAGGACAGCUUCAGUUUUGUCAGUUUAGCUCCAGGACCUACUAGUUCUUCUGUCUAGCGGUCCAGGGUAUCCAUAGAGCUCUCCUCCAACACCAUAUUUCAUAUGAAUCCAUUUUUUUCCUAUCAGCCUCUUCAUUGUCCAACUUUCACAUCCUUACAUAGUAAUUGGGAAUAGGCUGGUACUGUAUGUUUUUUCCCCAAAAAAGAAGUUAGUACUAUAUCUUCACUUUGUGAGUACUAAUUUGUCGUAAUAGUAUAAUAUACUAACUGGAUAUAUGUCCCUUGGACACAUGAAGUAUGCUUUUGUUUUGUUUUAUGUAAUCCCAUUAUCCCAUAACUAAUCCUCUGUGAAGGCUCAGAUAAAUAAAUGACUAUUUUAAUGACUUUAACAGAGCACAUCCUAUGUGUGAGGCACUGACCUGCACGGUACAUACUGUUCCUGGGUCCAAAGUAAGGGAGGCAAAGAAGGAAAUGAGCAAAGUAAGCAGGCAAGAGGGAAGAGCAUUAUUUCGGGCUUCUAUGGAACCAGCCAGACUCUAAAUUCCAAACCAGAUUGUGAGUGUUACAAUUGGUCCCACUUAGAAUGGCCAUCCUAGCACAUCCCAGCCCAAGCUCUUCAGCCAGCAUUGAGCUGAGCCUUUUCUCCAGUGUUUGCAUCCUCCCAUCCACACAGCUGGGCUUCUCUCUCCACUCCCACCUGCAGAGACGUCCCAACGUCCAAGACCAGGCAUAACCUUACACAGAAAGAAUGAGAAGACCUCAGCUCAGCACUCUGGGAUGUAGCGUCAACCGUUCCUACUGCUAGUCAGGCCCCGUGUUCCAGGUCUAACUCCUGGCUUGGAACUCUGCCCGGUCCCUCUAGGGUGGGGGCCCUGCUUCUUGCUUUCCAUUCCUUUCUUUCCUCCUUCCAGAGCUUGGAAAUCUGCCCAUGAACCUGAGCUCAGUGGCUGGAGCCUGCUGACUGCUGACCGACUUUCUUAUUCCCUUAUUUCUGAUUACAUUUCUCGGUGCCACCUGUCCUAGAUUGCCCAGUACCAGCACCUCCAAGCCUGAGACUUGUCUCCCACCUUCCAACACCAAUCCUACUUGCCUUGGUGACCGCCUGCCUCUGUUUCCGUAGACCUCUGCAUAUCACUUCUAAUGCCUUGUCUGCCACCUAGACUUCCUCGCAGCUCUUGCCCCGUCCCCAUGGGCAGAUCUAGCCAGUCUGCCUUGUCUUUUGCAGGGAACCAGGCCAUAUCUAACAGUGUCUUGAGCUAUGACAAUUGACAUUCAAUGCCCCGCAGAUUAGAGCCCCACCCACCAGGAACACUUUCUCACUAGGCUUGUGUACACUUGACUCCAGUCAAAAUAAUCUCACUGUUGUUUGCCAGCCAUGCCCACACCUACAGACCUCUCGGAUUUAUUCCUGUUAACCGCUCACCUGAAAAAGGCUUUAUCCCAUUCCAUCCCCCACUUACUGAGGAAUUCUUAAUAAAGAAUAAGCCCCCAAAUAUGACAAUCCAAAUCUCUUCCCAACCCUGACUGGAAAUUACAUCUCCUUCCUCUGAAGUCCUGUGGCUCGAUAUCUGGACUCCCAUUAUGGAUUUUAUUGCCUUUUUAUUUUAAAUGUCUUAUCUCUCUAAGUAUAUACUAGAGUAAGUAAACAUUUUGGAAAUAAAAUGCAUAUCUGAUUACUUAGCAAAGAAAACUAGGUAGGGAAGAGGGAAAGAGAGACUUGGCCCAAUUUCACAACAUGAGUAAUGGUCCAUCGAAGAUUAUAACUGAACAAGAUCAUCCUGUUAAGUGCCUGCUUAGCAUCCUUAAUCAAAUCAUUCCUGAAACAUGGCGUAAGGGCCCCUGUCCCAGUGGACUUAAGAAAAUUCACUGUGAGUCCCUUAGGUAAUAUAUAUAUUCCUUAUUGUCUUCCCUUUCUAUUUGGAGUUAUUUUUUUGCAUCUCUCCUUCCUCCCUCCCUUUCUGAAUGUGUCUGGAACCCCCAUCUCUCACCCCAAAGUUCUAUGACUCCCCAAACAGAACUGGAAUAAAUUGCCACCUCCUUGAAAUCCCUCCACUUCUUCCUUUAAGCAUCUACUGGGCCCAUAAAUUUGAUAAAAGGGGGCACAGCAGCUUUCUUCCCUGAGAGAAAACUCAAGGACCCAGGGAACAACCCAGCAAUGCCCUCCCCUGCCUAUCUUUGAACAAUUCAAUGGUAAUUGAAAAGACGCAGGUAGGAAAACCAGACUGACAAGUGGGUGUUUCUGUUUUUGAUUAAGGGGGGCAAAGUUCAUUCCUGCAUCCUGUAUAAUACACAGCUUCUUGUUCCCAGCAGUAUAUCUAGCCAUGGAGGGCCCACUGCCCUCUUACUUUGCCAAGUCUAUGUCAUGGUGUGAUGGGGGAGAGUUAAGCAGAUUGUAUACCCUUUUCCAGCUUUCCUCUUAGGAGCUCCAGAUGCUUUUUAAAAAAAUAUGACAACGAUCUCACCAAUCCCUGUACAGUAGCAAGAAACAUUGCCAACAAAAAUCAAAUAAUUAUAAUCCACCCACCAUAAUGUCUAUUCUACCUGCAUUAUUCUGCAAUAUUAGGCAUCUGAGUGGCAAUAUACAGUGCCAAGUCCAAGGCCGUGAGGUCUGAAGGCCCAAUGGUCAGGAGUCCUCUGAUGCUAGACAGACAUCAAAGUAUCAGGUUUUCUGAAGGAAGAAGCAUUUAAUUAUGAUCAAACAUGCUUCAAAGUGCUUUCAAGUGGUCAGUCGCUCCUCCCUGCUUCCCUGUCUGGGCAAUGAGCUCCAUUUCCCUGAUGAAGGAGUUGUGUUUCCUUUAGAAGCAUCAAAGAGGAUUCUCUCUGGCCCCACAGAUUUGAUGUUUCAAAAUCCCAUGUGUCCAUGUUGAGAUGAAAUGGUCAAACCCUGUCUUCCAGGUGCUUUGCCUUGAAUUGGAGACCCCAUGUCCUUUGGCAGGUACCUGGCAGGCCAUCAGGGGACAGUCCUCAAUUAGAACCCACAUCCUUUUCUGGCCCAGCAUGGGUUAAAUUAACUUUCAAGGUUUGGGACAAGAAUUAGUCUAUUGAUUAGCUUCAGAACUGGAUGGAUCCUCUAGGGCAGAGGGGGUGGAAGGAGAUGAUUCGGGUAUCAUUCAUUAGAGUAUCUGAUGUCCAGAAGCUAAACAUGGGGAGCACUUUAACAAUAAAAACAAACCCAGCUACAUAAGUCUGAGAAAACAUUAUUUCUCUUUCUACUGAAAAUAGAUUUUUAUAAUCUUGAGAGUGCACAUGGGCAUAAUCUUUUUAGAGCAAAAUUUGGCAGUAUUAAAAGCACGCAUUCACUUUGAACAAGUAAUGUCACUACUAGGAAUUUAUCCUAUGAAUAUACAUGGAAUAUUCAACAAAACAUAUGUACAAGAAUGGCCAACAAAGCAUUAUUAGUCAUGGUUUUAAAAAUACAUCAAAAUGUCCAUCAGUGCAGGGACGGGCUAAAUAAAAAUGGCACACCCAUAUAAUGGAUUACUACGGACUGGUUAAAAGAAUGAGAUGGAUUUGUGUGUGCCCAUAUGGAAAGAUUUUGAAAACACAUCAUUAAGGGGGAAAGGCCGGGUACAGAACAGUGUGUAGAGUAUAAUUCCUUCUAUGUUAAAAUGCACACAUAUUUGUGGGCAUGGGCACUUUAUGACAUUCAGGCAUAUGCACGAAAAAAUCUCGAGAAAUGGUUAGCAGUGGUCAACUUUCAGUCAAGGACUUGAAGCAGGUGGAGAAACAGCUUCAGGGUCACUUAACAGGGUGGCAUUUAGGAGAAAGCUCAGGGACCAGUUUAAGUUUCUUAUUUGUAUUCCCCAUUGUUAAAAACAUAAUAAAUAUUCUGUUAUCAUUUUAAAGGUUUUUCUAAGUUAGUAUCUUCAACCUCAAUUGGGUAUGUGGUCAGAGAGAGAACAAAAAAAAAGAUAUUCACAGAGAGAUCAGUAAUACCCUCAGCAGCUAAGCUAAAGAGGAAGUAUUCCAGUCCACAGAGGAAGAUGCUGGCCUCUGCAAAAAUGUUUACUGCGCGUGAGGGUGGAGGGGGAAGUGGAAAGAAGAAGAGUAAUAAUUGCCUCAUCUGGGUUUUUAAUCGAAUUUAAUUUUUUCUACUUACUUUACUUUGGAAAGGGGACUUUGAUAAGAGGAACUAGCCCUUGUGGGAGAAUGUGAGGGACCAAAAUGUUUUCCUAGCUCUGCAGAGAGUCAGAAGGAGCGCUCUUAUCCUUUCCUCACCCACUGGCCAAUCGAAAGGCCAAAAUAGAGGUGUUCAGAGGGAAUGUUGACAGAGCUGCUUAGCAAUGGGCCUGGAAGAAGGAGGAAUAUGAACCAGCCCCUGAGAACAGACCUUCAAGAGCUGCUGGUGACUCAGUUACUACCGAACAGCAGGACUCUUUUGUUUUCUUGAGCCUGGGAAAGAAAAGAAAGAAAAAAACCCUUUUGCUUUUGCAAACAGUCUUGAAUUGCAGUUUCAUUAAUCCAUUUCAAGGUCCAGGUUGGUGUGGCAUAGGCAACUGUUUACCCAGUGAAGCGAUAAGGCAAGGCUGAGCCUCCAAAGAAUCCACCAAGUCUCGCCUGUCACACAGCUUCCGUUUAUGAUCCACAUGGAGGCUUUCUAUUGGCCAAGAUCUACCUCAAUGGAUUUCAUAAUGGAGUAAAAUUUAUCUGAGUAAAAUACUAUCUGGCAUAGGCCUAGAUACAAAGCCUAUAGAAUAAGCAUGACUUUAACAUUGUUUUCUACCUGAUGGCGCUCCCAGGGCAGGCACAGAACUUUCCCCUCUUCUCACUCACCAUCCGAUUAUUCGUCACUAGGGCAGAAGAGGAUGGUAAACAACAUGAUAAGCCUUGUUGGAUAGUUUCUAAAUGUUGGAGCUUCUUCAAGGAAGUGGGCACUCCCUCAGGGGAGGUUACUUCAGCCAGUUACAGGGCGAAUGAGGCCAAGGUCAUAAGCUUAUUUACCCUGAGGGCCAUUAGCUUUGAUUUGUUUCAUGACCACAUCCUGCAUCCCUCAACCCAAACAGCUGUUUCAAAAAUGGAUGCCCUUGAUGACAAGAGGGACUGGUCCAAAGUAAAAUAGAUGUGUUAGUUCAAAUUCAACAUGCUCCAGGAAAAAUGAAUCAAAGCACAUCAAAAGUAUUAAAAUUACAUCACCUGGUAUUUGUUCCAAAGAGAUCAGGAAUAAUAACAUCAAGCAGACCUCAACAAUCUGCACCACUGCUAGGUUGGUCAUCAGACAAAAAUAGCUACAUAUUCACAGACAGCCAUUUCUUCUUAAGGAGGAGACUAUCACACUAACUCUGAAUCCAUUUUUCCAAUAAAAUACGUCUUCAAAGAAAAUUAUUUCAUUUAGCACAUAAAGAAUGUUCUACUU